GACAUCAGACGCUGAGACGCGACAGCACGGGGAGCGAACGGGAUUAGAAACCCCGGUAGUCCGUGCCGUAAACGAUGUGUACUAGAUGUUCGGUUGACUACGGUUGAUUGAGCGUCGAAGCAAACGCGAUAAGUACACCGCCUGGGGAGUACGGUCGCAAGGCUAAAACUCAAAGGAAUUGACGGGGCCCCGCACAAGCAGCGGAGCGUGUGGUUUAAUUCGAGGCUACGCGAAGAACCUUACCUAGGUUUGACAUCUGGCGCAAUCCUGUGAAAGCAGGAGUUCCGCAAGGACGCCAAGACAGGUGCUGCAUGGCUGUCGUCAGCUCGUGUCGUGAGAUGUUCGGUUAAGUCCGAAAACGAGCGCAACCCCCGGGUCUAGUUACAAGUGUCUAGACCGACUGCCUGCGACAAGUGGGAGGAAGGUGGGGAUGACGUCAAGUCAGCAUGGCCUUUACAUCUAGGGCUACACACACGCUACAAUGGCGCGUACAGUGGGAAGCAAGACCGCGAGGUGGAGCGAAUCCUGAAAGCGCGUCGUAGUUCGGAUUGCAGGCUGCAGCUCGACCUCAUGAAGCCGGAAUCGCUAGUAAUCGCGGGUCAGCUAUACCGCGGUGAAUACGUUCUCAAGUCUUGUACUCACCGCCC
This 647-nucleotide ribosomal RNA is filed under the name uncultured bacterium. RNAcentral describes it as "bacterial SSU rRNA". It matches the Rfam family "Bacterial small subunit ribosomal RNA", at positions 735 to 1395 of the family's 1533-position model. The record is from RNAcentral.